Long non-coding RNA from Ictalurus punctatus (channel catfish), 428 nucleotides. Lineage: Eukaryota; Metazoa; Chordata; Actinopteri; Siluriformes; Ictaluridae. The record is from Ensembl.
GUCUCUCUCACUGAAGUGCAGACAGAGAACUCGAAUUUAAAACUGAGUUUCUGUAAAGAAGUGCAUCCUGGUUUUCUGUCUCGGACCUGUGUCAAGUCUGGAUGAUGUUGGGGUCCAGGAGAAAGAACACGAUUAACAAGAGGUUCAGCAUGCUACGCGUGGUUCUGCUUAAAGUCAAUCUGUGGAAAAGCGAUGGCAGAGUGUCUCAAACAUCUAACGCAUUAGAGUCUACUCACUUGACCCACUCAUUACUCCUGUCCCCUCUUUCUGCACUUCUAAAGACUUCUGAUUUACUUGCUGUGAUCGAGCGGAUGCAGAACAGCAGAAUGGAUGAGCAGAGAUGCACACUUCCACCUCCUCUUAAAGUAAGUUUGGUUGUGUAAAUCGAUAAAGUAUACAGCCAAAAGUGUGUGGACACCUGACCAUCA